AUUAAAGGCACGCCUGCCCAGUGAACAAUUAAACGGCCGCGGUACCCUAACCGUGCAAAGGUAGCAUAAUCAUUUGUCUAUUAAUUGUAGACCAGUAUGAAUGGCAAAAUGCGGGCCUAUCUGUCUCUUACAAUAAGUCAAUUAAACUGAUCUUCUAGUAAAAAAGCUAGAAUCCACACACAAGACCAGAAGACCCUGUGAAGCUUAAACUAAACUAUUAAACCCUAUAAUAUCUACUUUGGGUUGGGGCGACCUUGGAAAAAAAAAGAACUUCCAAACAUAUGACCACACUCAUUCAUCAGGCCCACAAGCCUAAUAAAAGACCCAGUACAGCUGAUAAUUGAACCAAGUUACUCCAGGGAUAACAGCGCCAUCUUCUUCAAGAGUCCAUAUCAAAAAGAAGGUUUACGACCUCGAUGUUGGAUCAGGACAUCCUAAUGGUGCAGUCGCUAUUAAGGGUUCGUUUGUUCAACGAUUAAUAGUCCUACGUGAUCUGAGUUAGAACCGGAUWUUAAUCGUUGAACAUAGAACCUUAAUAGCGACUGCACCAUUAGGAUGUCCUGAUCCAACAUCGAGGUCGUAAACCUUCUUUUUGAUAUGGACUCUUGAAGAAAAUGGCCUKUUAUCCUGGAGUAACUUGGUUCAUUAUUCAGCUGUACUGGGUCUUUUAUUAGGYUUGUGGGCUGAUGAA
This 691-nucleotide ribosomal RNA is filed under the name Sibon annulatus. RNAcentral's name for it is "partial 16S ribosomal RNA". The stretch from base 1 to 568 matches the Rfam family "Bacterial large subunit ribosomal RNA", at positions 1845 to 2925 of the family's 2925-position model. Lineage: Eukaryota; Metazoa; Chordata; Lepidosauria; Squamata; Dipsadidae. The record is from RNAcentral.